GACGAACGCUGGCGGCGUGCUUAACACAUGCAAGUCGAACGGAAAGGCCCUGCUUUUGUGGGGUGCUCGAGUGGCGAACGGGUGAGUAACACGUGAGUAACCUGCCCUUGACUUUGGGAUAACUUCAGGAAACUGGGGCUAAUACCGGAUAGGAGCUCCUGCUGCAUGGUGGGGGUUGGAAAGUUUCGGCGGUUGGGGAUGGACUCGCGGCUUAUCAGCUUGUUGGUGGGGUAGUGGCUUACCAAGGCUUUGACGGGUAGCCGGCCUGAGAGGGUGACCGGCCACAUUGGGACUGAGAUACGGCCCAGACUCCUACGGGAGGCAGCAGUGGGGAAUAGUGGACAAUGGGCGGAAGCCUGAUGCAGCAACGCCGCGUGCGGGAUGACGGCCUUCGGGUUGUAAACCGCUUUCGCCUGUGACGAAGCGUGAGUGACGGUAAUGGGUAAAGAAGCACCGGCUAACUACGUG
Molecule: ribosomal RNA, 468 nt
Filed under: uncultured bacterium
Lineage: Bacteria
Description: partial 16S ribosomal RNA
Rfam family: Bacterial small subunit ribosomal RNA
Source: RNAcentral